This 301-nucleotide ribosomal RNA is filed under the name uncultured bacterium. RNAcentral's name for it is "partial 16S ribosomal RNA". It matches the Rfam family "Bacterial small subunit ribosomal RNA", at positions 509 to 807 of the family's 1533-position model. The record is from RNAcentral.
CAGCAGCCACGGGAAUACGUAGGGUGCGAGCGUUAAUCGGAAUUACUGGGCGUAAAGCGUGCGCAGGCGGUUCGUUAAGACAGAUGUGAAAUCCCCGGGCUUAACCUGGGAACUGCAUUUGUGACUGGCGAGCUAGAGUAUGGCAGAGGGGGGUAGAAUUCCACGUGUAGCAGUGAAAUGCGUAGAGAUGUGGAGGAAUACCGAUGGCGAAGGCAGCCCCCUGGGCCAAUACUGACGCUCAUGCACGAAAGCGUGGGAAGCAAACAGGAUUAGAUACCCCAGUAGUCCCUGUCUCUUAUAC